This 1659-nucleotide long non-coding RNA is filed under the name Mustela putorius furo (domestic ferret). RNAcentral's name for it is "lncRNA (ENSMPUG00000023848.1)". Lineage: Eukaryota; Metazoa; Chordata; Mammalia; Carnivora; Mustelidae. The record is from RNAcentral.
UGUUCUAGAGUGCCAUCCUACCUGGAUGGUCAGCCCCAGGAGGGGACAAAGCCAGAGCCUUAGCACGGGACAGCCUUGCCCACCUGCCCCUGCCUUCUCCCCCACACGCCUCCAACCCCGAAGAGGCAGUUCUCCUUCCAGCGGCAGGUGGUUAGAGACCUCCGGUGCCCGCAUCCUGAGAUAACUCCACACCAGGGUUACGGUGAAACUGCGCCAUCUAGCCCAGCAGGCCGGCCCUUUGUGUGACAACUAAAGGAACCUGAACUGGUCAAGAUUGGGCACAGAACAAACACCCGAGUCCAACCGCCAACUUCCAAGUGUCCCAGAGGGAAACGAGCGGAACCACGACCACCAGAGCCUGUUGGUUCCAGGGUGAGUGGAGCUAGCCGACUUCAGGAACCGCCCGCCACGUGUUCUCUGCCAUCCAGAGCUGCUUUGAAAACAGAAACGGCCAUUUAAAAGUCGACCUGGCCGGUUAGUCUUGAAGGGAAAUGACCUGACCGCGCAUCCCUAACUGUCCUCCCAGUGCGGACGAUGGGGCCAUGGUGACGGGCUACACCUGCCUUCACAGUGGACGACACCACGGACGAUGUCCAGCUUCCCUAAUUCAUGGUCAUAAUCAAAAUCAAAGGGGGAGAAAAGCUACCACUCUAAACAAGAUAAUGUACAUUUGUUAGGAAAAGAAGUGUGCUUCUGUCCCAUGAGGAUUCUGGAAGAAAUUUUACCCUAAAAGGCAUCCUUUGGCAAAUCUCCAUCCAAGCAAGGCCAGAGCCAGCAGCCAGCAGGUGCCCAGUGGCGGACAAUGGGGGAUGAAGUCAGAAACAUAUGUUUGUGCCCUAUGAAGUUCAAGUCAGAGCCUGGACCUCGAAGGACUUUAAUAUAUGCCCCUUUCGCAUCAAAGUCCUGGCCAGCCAGUGAACUCCAGGUCAGUUCCGGAGUCCUGAGGCAGCCCAGCCCCAAAAUCACAGAAUUCACGACAUUUUUGCACAGAGUUGCAGCUACCGGAUCUAUCCUUCAUAAUGAUGUUACAAAAUAACAAAAUUACAGACAUGAAGCACAAUCUUGGGAAUGCACUGCAGUGAUGGCCAGAAAACAGUCUUCGGUUUCUUGUGAAAUGCUGUAUCUUAAAAUUAAAAAAUGACAGACUUGUGUGUCUUUGCCAUCACAAAGUUACACAACAUGUUUAAAAUAUCAAAGGACUGUAAUGGAAAAAUAGGAAUCCACAGCUGUAGAACUUCCCAUAAUUGGGGGCACCCAACCCCGUGCAGUCUCAAAGACUCAUGGUGGGCUUCUGCUCACUAAGAAGCCUCCUGAGGGACCCUCUCUCCGGGACCCGCUUGCGGCUGUCACUUUCCCUUUGCUCUCGUUGUCACUAACUUUGCUUAAUGACCUCGUUCUCUGGGACUAACCAUUUCUCCAGCAGAGGAACAGGCCUCGCUCUUCCAAGGUUGGAGUUGGGGGAAUUGGCUCUCUGGCUGAGACCCCAGAGUGCGGGGGCAGAGCUCCACGUGGUGUGAUGGGACCAAAUGUUCAGUACAUUUUUUUUUCUAAAUGGAUGUUCAAUAUUUUAAGUGGCACAUCAGUUACUCUGGGGUACUCUUAUCCAGUUCACUCCAUCAGCUUCAAUAAAUGCCAAAUUAAAAAGAAGAAGAAGGGAAA